UACACAUUUUAGGUUUCCUUAUUUUAGAUUUAAUUGAGUAAUUUAUUUAUAAAAAAAAGAAGAAAAGAAAAGGGAAAUGAGGAGUGGGCGUGUGACCUAGUGGGAAUGGAAUAUUUCCUUAAAAUGGUAAAAAAAAAAUCAAGACUUAAAGACCAUGAUCAUUUGGGGAUAGGCAUGAUCAUAUCUUAUCCCUUUGUAUCUUUUUGAAAUAAAGAAAAAUCAAGGAAAAUAAAAGAGAAAUGGAAACUUACCUUAAUAUUGUUUGGGGAGACUUUAUGAGAGGAUUUGUGAUAAAGGGGCUAAGAAAGGAGAGAAGAGCCAUUGCUCUUGUGUGUGUGUGUGGCUGCCGUGACCUAGAGAGAGAGAGAGAGAGAGUGGCGUGUAGAGAGAGAGAGAGAGAGAGAGAGAGAGAGAGAGGAAGAAAGAAAGAAAGGAAGAAGGAAGAAGAAAGUGAAGAGGAACCCCCCUAGAGCUUGAACAAGGGUGUGGAGUUUGUGGUAUUGAUCUUUUGUGUUCUUGAUUCUACAAUCAAGAGAGGCUCGUUGAAAAGAUUGUGAAAUUCUUAGCUUGGACCUGAGGUAAGGAAGUUAGAUAGAUUUUAUGAUUUUAUGCUAUGAAUGGUAAGACUGUUAUAUGAAUGAACUGUUAUGAAAUUAUGAAUGCCUUAAUGUGAUGAUCUGUUGAAUGUGAUAUGUGUAUGGAUGUUAGAUACAUCAAACAGAAUGUGAUGUUAGAUACAUCAAACAGAUUUCGAUGUCAGAUACAUCGAACGAGUUACUAAGGACAUUGAGACGUGACUCCUAGGGCGGACGCGCCGAGGUUAUUCAAGGACCAGUGAUCUCCUGUUUACCUCAUAGGGUGACAUGGACAACUAGCGUUCCAUGC
Humulus lupulus (European hop) is the source of this 885-nucleotide long non-coding RNA. RefSeq lists it as uncharacterized. NCBI's taxonomy places the organism in Eukaryota, Viridiplantae, Streptophyta, Magnoliopsida, Rosales, Cannabaceae. The record is from RefSeq and is a predicted model, not a curated record. The transcript has 3 exons.